RNAcentral lists this ribosomal RNA (221 nucleotides) under uncultured bacterium. RNAcentral describes it as "partial 16S ribosomal RNA". It matches the Rfam family "Bacterial small subunit ribosomal RNA", at positions 524 to 742 of the family's 1533-position model. The record is from RNAcentral.
UACGAAGGGGGCUAGCGUUGUUCGGAAUCACUGGGCGUAAAGCGCACGUAGGCGGAUUGUUAAGUCAGGGGUGAAAUGCCAAGGCUCAACCUUGGAACUGCCUUUGAUACUGGCAAUCUCGAGUCCGGGAGAGGUGAGUGGAACUGCGAGUGUAGAGGUGAAAUUCGUAGAUAUUCGCAAGAACACCAGUGGCGAAGGCGGCUCACGUGGCCCGAGACCUG